AUCACUAUAGCAAAUAAAUGCAUAAAACUUAGAAUUUUAUCAUACUUUUAUCACAGAAAUAAUU
This 64-nucleotide transfer RNA is filed under the name Parachtes limbarae. RNAcentral describes it as "tRNA-Leu". Lineage: Eukaryota; Metazoa; Arthropoda; Arachnida; Araneae; Dysderidae. The record is from RNAcentral.